This is a non-coding RNA of Equus caballus (horse), 1256 nucleotides long. The record is from RefSeq and is a predicted model, not a curated record. Lineage: Eukaryota; Metazoa; Chordata; Mammalia; Perissodactyla; Equidae.
CAGCAGGAAGCGGUCCUGAGGGUUUGCCCACUGGGCCUCACGGCCUGCCCUGAGGAACUGGACGAUGGGCCUCUCCCUCUGCAGGCUCAGGAGGGCCGUCUCGGGCAGUGCUGUGGGGUGAGGGGCUCUCAGGGCAGCCCACAUGUCUUGGGGUCCGCAGAUAGCAAGAGGGGACGUUGGGUGGGGGGGUCUGUGGGAGCCAAGCCAUGGCCCCCAAUCCGGAGUCACAGGGAGGAGGCUGGCCUGACCAUAGGCUCCCAGGGGCCUUGGGCAGGGCCCAGAUGGGCCGGGCAUGGGGUGGGGGCAGAUCUGUGUGAGAGGCCGUGGGUAUGAGCAUGUGGUGUGAGCUCAUGAAAGCCUGGGUUGAGCCAGGGCCCAUCCUCCCAGCAUCCUCCUCCUCUCCUUCCCCCUCUGCCCUCCCCCUCUCCUCCCUGAAUCUGUCAAACUACCAGCCUCCGGACUGCCCCUGUCCUGACCGCCCUGGGACCCACGGGCACCAGGGUGCUUGGCACAGUCUUCUCAGGUCCCUGUUUUUAUGUAGAGCUCAGACAAGAAGCACCAUUCCUAGUUUUCUUCAAGGCCAACCCCGACCUGGAGAACCACCUUCUCGUCUCCUUGGCAACUCCGCCUCAGAACCACAGCAGCUCAGGGCCUGGGCGAGGCCGCCAUGUGGGGCGGCUGGAAAAGCCGGUUCUCUGGGGCCUCCUGCCCCUGGCCAGCCUGUGCUAACAGGUGGGUCCCAGGGUUCAGGAAUGCUUGGGAAGGCUCUGGGCUCGGCAGCGGGGCAGCCAGGAGCCAGGCGAAGACAGAGGCGGGAAACAAAUGGCCUGUCAAGAUUCCUAAUUAAGGUACCGCGUAAGUGAUGGCUCUCUGCUCGGACCAAGGAGAACCAGCCAACACCAGCUGCUGCAGGACCAGCCCAUUUGCUCUGGCCAGAGGAGGAGAUUCGCAGCGCUGAGUUCAGUGUCCUGCUAGGAAACAGGAGCUUUUCAACCACAAAGGAAGGAGAGAGAAGCCCCACGAGAGGCAGGAUGAGACCCUGGCUCCCACUUUCUCCCCCUCUAGGGGUGCCCCCUCUGCCCUGGGGACCAGGGUCCCGCCCAGCCCAGCUCAGCCCAGCCCCAGCUGGGAGAGGGGUCAGUGUGGCCACCCUGGGCCCCCGAAACAAUUCUGGGGACUUAUGGCUUUGUCUUGCAUUUUCUGUUCUUUAUAUAAAUCACGUUUUAAUGAAAUAAAGUAUCAUAAAAGCUGCUCAU